This is an RNA transcript of Bombus huntii, 2574 nucleotides long. It is a transcript of the gene named REPTOR-binding partner, with no coding region annotated. The transcript is spliced from 5 exons. Lineage: Eukaryota; Metazoa; Arthropoda; Insecta; Hymenoptera; Apidae. The record is from RefSeq and is a predicted model, not a curated record.
AUUUCGUAAAAUAUUUGUUCCGCUUCAUUGAUCAAUGGGUUAACUUCCUAAUGCUUAGAGCCGAACAAAAAACUCGAAGGUCAUACCGAUUUAUCGGACCUACGGAUCUUUUAAUCCGUGCAUACAGGAUGCGUUUAGUUCUGUCACUCUUAAACAAGGACAUUUGCCUCUAUAUAAUUGAUUAAACUGACUGGAACAAACAGUCUACUGACGCUUGCUUUUUAACAUGUCUUUCAUUUCUUAUAUCGUGCUCUUUUUCUUUAUUCAACGCAGGCUUUGUGCAUCUGACUUGAUUGCUCCGCAGAAUAACGAACAAUCAAGAUCUUCUUUGUCAGACUCUGUGCAAAAAAAGAUCGAUGAAGAGUAUGCAAUUUUCGACGAGGAGAAGACAAGUAAGGAAAGUAGUUCCAUUUAUAAUAGGGGGCAACUAGGAUUUAAUGAACGUAAGCGAGAUGAAAAGAGAUACGGCAACCAAGAUACAGCACGGAAAGGGCAUGACAAAGGAAGGCAUAGUUUAGGAGAAUUCGAAGUCGUCGAUCACGAGAAGAAUUCUUUUGAACGGCAUGGUAGUGGAUAUUACAAAAAAGGGCAUCACAGGACCGGUUUCAGCAACAACUACCAUAAGGACGAGUCAGGAAAUAAUUCAAGCUUUUACGAGGACAGCGAUGACGAAGGGGGGCAUAGGUCGUCCGGGAAUACCGGUGGAUAUUAUGGGCAAAAAUCGCAGAACUCGUUUAGGGACGGUUCGCGCGAUGUAUCUUACCUUGAAAAAGAUAGGGCACAACAGGGAAUAUAUGACAAUAGGAAAAAUAUUAACGAUUAUCAUGGUCAUAUCCGAGGAUAUAACAACGAUCGAUAUAUAGAUGAUAGAAGGAAUUAUCUGAGGAACGAAGCACGACAUUAUUUUGAUAAAAAUAAGGAAGAUAUAUACAAUCAUAAAGAAAGGUAUUGUCCAAUUACUUAUCGUAAUAACGAUCGUGUGCCCUCGCUCGGAUAUUCGCAUCAUUACGUGGAUACAUUACCUGGAGGAUAUUACAGAGAAGAUCCGUACAUUAUACCUUAUUCAAAAGAUUAUAAAUAUUUUCCACAUCGACAAAGAGAUUACGAACAAGAAAUAUAUCACCCUUAUACAAGUGUUUACACUAAAAACAAUCGAGGCGAUUUUGAUGAUAACGGAUACUUAAAGAAAUAUAGGAAUGAUUUUAAUAAUGCAUAUCACGGAAUUUAGAACUUGAUUUUGCAACGUAAAGUAUAGAUGUAAAGUUUGCAAUACUAGAUGUAAAGUUGUAAAGAUGCAAGUUUGUACUUUUAGUAAUAAAACUAUCUUUUAUAUGUCCAUACUUAUUUUGAACUGAUUUAAUUUUUAAUAUUCAUUGCAAUAUAGAGUACACCAGAAGGUCUACCACCAUCAUGAAUAAAGGAUACGACAAGGCUUCUGCAACUUUAUUAAAUUCAUUAUAAAAACGGUAUUUUGACUUUGAUAAUUUUAUAGCCAUUUUAAUUUUUGUAUGAAAAUGUCCUUUUCCGCGAAGUCGUCUGCUACUUACGUGUGAUGUUUGGUUGCAUAUUUACGGUGUUAUCGUAGAGAGUAAAAUGCAGCAUAGUUAAAUAUACAUUAAAAGCAUUCGUACAAGUUCGAACGAUCCAGUUAUAUUCAGAGUCCAAUUGAGAAUUCUCACUCAUAUUACAUGUUUCUAAAUCUUCUGUGACGAUAGCGUUAAUUUUCAUUAAAAAUUUUGGAACUAAAUAACGGAUUAUACAAAAAAAAUGUUUUGCAUUAAAAGUGAUGUUAAUCACAUUAUUUUCGUGGUUAUAUUCAUGGAAUCAUCUCGGAUUUGAAAUUGAUUAAAAACAUCAAAUGUCUGAAUUUUCAAAAAAUUGAAGUGUGUUUCGUCAUAGAUGAGAUACAAUAGAUAGAUUUAAUAUACAAUGCAUUUCUGUAUCAUAUAGUUUAAUAGGAAAUAAGUUUUAAAGGAAAUAAGAAACAUUAUAAAUGAAUGAUUUUAUUGUAGGUAUGUAUAUAUACUUUCUACGCUGAAAAGUGUUGAAAUUUGUUCGCAGUUUGAUUACUUACCGACAGUUAGCUUUGAAUAGGAUCCCUUCAUAACAUUUCAUGGUUUCGCCGCAAGUGGCGCUAUCAUCCGUGAUCGUGACGUAAUAUGAAAUACCCGACAGUCAGAGGUCUGGGGGUCUGCUGUAUGACCUUGCAGUGUUUGUAAACAGAUACACGUUGCUAUUGCAAAGUGUUGAGAAUACGAUAGAAUCAAGAUUUAACAAAGCGUGUCACGAAAAAUUUGCUUGAGAAACAACGAGAAGGAGCAAAUCCACGGGGAUCAUGGAAGUGGAGCCUAUGUGUAUCGUAGAAAAUGAGACGAAAUCAGUCACAGCUGUAAUAUAUCGUGUUGAAAUAAGCAACAGCAACCCAGUGGGACAUACACGAUACGGUGAAUGUGUUAGAAAGCCUUCGACUGCUAAAAAAAGAGGGAUCUCGCGGUGAUCGGAAAGAGGGGGGUAAGAGGGGACGCAAGCCUGGAAGGAAGGCGUCCGACAAGACGGACAUGAAAGCCAAGCUCG